CCAGCACCCGCGGUAAUUCCAGCUCCAAUAGCGUAUACCAAUGUUGUUGCAGUUAGAAAGCUCGUAGUUGGGGGUGGGUGGGUGAGCACUGGGCCGUGAGGCGCGAUGCGAGCCCAGCAUGACUUUCUGGACUUGGGGUGGGUUCUUCGUUGGACCCACCACAGCUAGAAUGUUACUGUGAAUAAAUUAGGGUGUUCCAAGCGGGCUGAUGCUCGCAUAGAUUAGCAUGGAAUAACAGAGUUGGACCUGGGCGCUGUUGGGCAGGAGGUGGCUAGGGAAUGGUUAAUAGGGACGGUUGGGGGCAUUAGUAUUUCAUAGUCAGAGGUGAAAUUCCGGGAUUUAUGAAAGACUGACUUCUGCGAAAGCAUUUGCCAAGGAUGUUUUCAU
RNAcentral lists this ribosomal RNA (387 nucleotides) under uncultured eukaryote. RNAcentral describes it as "SSU rRNA". It matches the Rfam family "Eukaryotic small subunit ribosomal RNA", at positions 567 to 973 of the family's 1831-position model. The record is from RNAcentral.